This 256-nucleotide ribosomal RNA is filed under the name uncultured bacterium. RNAcentral describes it as "partial 16S ribosomal RNA". It matches the Rfam family "Bacterial small subunit ribosomal RNA", at positions 524 to 776 of the family's 1533-position model. The record is from RNAcentral.
UACGUAGGCAGCAAGCGUUGUUCGGAGUUACUGGGCGUAAAGGGUGUGUAGGCGGUUGGAUAAGUGUGGUGUGAAAUCUCCCGGCUUAACUGGGAGGGUGCGCCUACAAACUGUCUGACUAGAGUGUGGGAUGGGUAAGUGGAAUUCCUGGUGUAGCGGUGAAAUGCGUAGAUAUCAGGAGGAACACCGGUGGUGUAGACGGCUUACUGGACCAUAACUGACGCUGAGACACGAAAAGCGUGGGGUAGCAAACAGG